Long non-coding RNA from Nanorana parkeri, 198 nucleotides. RefSeq lists it as uncharacterized. The record is from RefSeq and is a predicted model, not a curated record. Lineage: Eukaryota; Metazoa; Chordata; Amphibia; Anura; Dicroglossidae. The transcript is spliced from 3 exons.
UUUGACAUCAUCUGGCAACUGAGUGAAGAAAGGUUUUCAGCAGCUGAAGCAAUCAUUUAUUCUAUAGUUAGCAACAUGAACGGUGUCUCUGCUCCACUGAUUCAGAAGACGGCACUCCCAGUGAAACACUCCUUAUACAUGGUUCUAACUGUGCAACCCAAUGCACUUUAUGUGAAGAUCCCUCCUGAGUCACCGAUA